This 82-nucleotide small nucleolar RNA is filed under the name Scophthalmus maximus (turbot). RNAcentral's name for it is "Small nucleolar RNA SNORD79 (ENSSMAG00000006419.2)". It matches the Rfam family "Small nucleolar RNA SNORD79". Rfam says of the family: snoRNA U79 or Z22 is found in intron 7 of the gas5 gene in humans and is also present in mice. U79 is a member of the C/D class of snoRNA which contain C (UGAUGA) and D (CUGA) box motifs. Most of the members of the C/D box family function in directing site-specific 2'-O-methylation of substrate RNAs. The record is from Rfam by way of RNAcentral. Lineage: Eukaryota; Metazoa; Chordata; Actinopteri; Pleuronectiformes; Scophthalmidae.
AACUGACAAUGAUGAAUAUUGUUAAAAAACAAUGGGAAUCUCUCUGAAAAAGAGUGAAAGAGAACUUUUUACUGAUGCAGUG